Molecule: ribosomal RNA, 497 nt
Filed under: uncultured bacterium
Lineage: Bacteria
Description: partial 16S ribosomal RNA
Rfam family: Bacterial small subunit ribosomal RNA
Source: RNAcentral
GAUGAACGCUGGCGGCGUGCCUAAUACAUGCAAGUCGAGCGAACAGACGAGGAGCUUGCUCCUCUGACGUUAGCGGCGGACGGGUGAGUAACACGUGGAUAACCUACCUCUAAGACUGGGAUAACUUCGGGAAACCGUAGCUAAUACCGGAUAAUAUAUUGAACCGCAUGGUUCAAUAGUGAAAGACGGUUUUGCUGUCACUUAUCGAUGGAUCCGCGCCGCAUUAGCUAGUUGGUAAGGUAACGGCUUACCAAGGCAACGAUGCGUAGCCGACCUGAGAGGGUGAUCGGCCACACUGGAACUGAGACACGGUCCAGACUACUACGGGAGGCAGCAGUAGGGAAUGUGCCGCAAUGGUCGAAAGCCUGACGGAGCAACGCCGCGUGAGUGAUGAAGGUCUUCGGAUCGUAAAACUCUGUUAUUAGGGAAGAACAAAUGUGUAAGUAACUAUGCACGUCUUGACGGUACCUAAUCAGAAAGCCACGGCUAACUACGUG